RNAcentral lists this ribosomal RNA (253 nucleotides) under uncultured bacterium. RNAcentral describes it as "partial 16S ribosomal RNA". It matches the Rfam family "Bacterial small subunit ribosomal RNA", at positions 524 to 776 of the family's 1533-position model. The record is from RNAcentral.
UACGGAGGGUGCGAGCGUUGUCCGGAAUCAUUGGGCGUAAAGGGCGCGUAGGUGGCCCGGUCAGUUCGUGGUGAAAGCGCGGGGCUCAACCCCGCGUCGGCCAUGAAUACUGCUGGGCUGGAGCACUGUAGAGGCAGGCGGAAUUCCGGGUGUAGCGGUGGAAUGCGUAGAGAUCCGGAAGAACACCGGUGGCGAAGGCGGCCUGCUGGGCAGUUGCUGACACUGAGGCGCGACAGCGUGGGGAGCAAACAGG